Long non-coding RNA from Clupea harengus (Atlantic herring), 1311 nucleotides. The record is from Ensembl. Lineage: Eukaryota; Metazoa; Chordata; Actinopteri; Clupeiformes; Clupeidae.
UGUUCAGAAAUAUCUCAGCCGUUGUGUUUGAAUUCACACACGCACACACACACACACACACACACACACACACACACACACAUUGUCUUUCUCUUUUAGAAAGGCCUGACAGGCAGCAACAGUGAUUUGCCUUUUUUUUUUUUUUUUACAGGCAUAAAAAAUCGCCUCAAACAUCAAACGCUGCACCUGCACACCCUUGAUGCCAGAAACCAAUGCAUUAGUUGCCCCGCCAGACACUUCCAUUCUCACCCCGGUAGCGUGAGGGGGCACUUUGAAAGCUAUCUGACAGGCCACACUUGAAAAUGGGAUAUGGAGUGGACUGGAAAUAAUAAAAUAAAAAAAAGAACAGCAGCACUUUUGUGUCAUGCCUCCCUGAAGCCCACCAGACUCUUCACAGGGGACGUCUCACCCUGCGGGCACUGGGGUGUGGGCAUGGGCGGCAGGCACUGGGGUGUGGGCAUGGGCGGUGUGAUGCCCACUGGCAAAACAAAUCAUCUGAUUUGUGAGUGUACUGAAUCAUCUGGGCAAGAAUAAGGGAAUGCAUUUUGAAUUGAGCCAUUUCAGAUCCGAUUCAGAUCAAGAGACACAACACAGCGGGCGUGUUUCAGAACCUCACCUAGCCCCUCAUCGGCAUUUUCAAGAGGCUUACUCUGCUUUGUUUUUCUUUUAUCGUGGUUUACCAGAAUCAUAAAACAAUGAUGAUAAUGAAAUGAAAUUCAAACUAAUUCUGGCUCACACAACCUGCAGUUAAAUGGCCUGACCAAUUAGAGCACUCUCUCUGAUGGCCAGGCAGCUUGAUGCAUAUUUCAAAUGAGCGAGCUGCAUGAAUAAGCAAUGAGCUAUCGGUGCUUUUUAAGCAGCUUCAUGCUAGCUAGUACCAGACUGAGAGGGGGGGGGGGGGGGGGGUUCAGAACAAUUGCAGCGAACCCCACUCUGUCCCAACAAGAACAUCUUUCAUCCAUGGCUACAGAAUCCCUUGAAGCACAAAUGCACGGCUUCGCCCCCUCGUAACCUAGAAACGUAUUGCUAGUUCUGUUUCAGUGCAAAUAAUGAAACCGCAAUCAGUCACUGGGAGGGAGUGUGUCGACGGCAAAUUUACCCGGUGCUUUUAAGUGCUGAUUAAAAGACAGGCGAGAAAGCUUCUGCAAUAUUGCCUGUCUACUUGGUCCUUGAGAGCCAUGUUGAGCAUAUUUAAUUACUUUUAUUCGAAUGAUUUCUCAAACGCUUCCAUUUCAUCAUACACUGACCUACACUGACACACUCUUAAACACACACACUCACAGAAAUGCACACAUGCACUCAUACAGAAAU